RNAcentral lists this ribosomal RNA (497 nucleotides) under uncultured bacterium. RNAcentral's name for it is "partial 16S ribosomal RNA". It matches the Rfam family "Bacterial small subunit ribosomal RNA", at positions 28 to 507 of the family's 1533-position model. The record is from RNAcentral.
GAUGAACGCUGGCGGCGUGCCUAAUACAUGCAAGUCGAGCGAACGGACGAGAAUCUUGCUUCUCUGAUGUUAGCGGCGGACGGGUGAGUAACACGUGGAUAACCUACCUAUAAGACUGGGAUAACUUCGGGAAACCGGAGCUAACACCGGAUAAUAUUUUGAACCGCAUGGUUCAAAAGUGAAAGACGGUCUUGCUGUCACUUAUAGAUGGAUCCGCGCUGCAUUAGCUAGUUGGUAAGGUAACGGCUUACCAAGGCAACGAUGCAUAGCCGACCUGAGAGGGUGAUCGGCCACACUGGAACUGAGACACGGUCCAGGCUCCUACGGGAGGCAGCAGUAGGGAAUCUUCCGCAAUGGGCGAAAGCCUGACGGAGCAACGCCGCGUGAGUGAUGAAGGUCUUCGGAUCGUAAAACUCUGUUAUUAGGGAAGAACAUAUGUGUAAGUAACUGUGCACAUCUUGACGGUACCUAAUCAGAAAGCCACGGCUAACUACGUG